Long non-coding RNA from Zonotrichia leucophrys gambelii, 1605 nucleotides. RefSeq lists it as uncharacterized. The transcript has 4 exons. The record is from RefSeq and is a predicted model, not a curated record. Lineage: Eukaryota; Metazoa; Chordata; Aves; Passeriformes; Passerellidae.
UGAAAAGAAGGAAGAGUCCGUGCCUGGAGGAGCUGCCUACAAGAAACAGCAAGGAGGUAAACGUGGAACUCUUCUGAACAGUAUUGCUGUAAAUGUGAUUUGUGAGAAGAGCAAACAGAGUUUUGAGCAACCUGUUUGACAGACUGGGGUCUGAGAGUUGCGCAGACAAAGCAGGGGAAAGGAGGUGAGAAAACAGCAGAGCCAGGCACUGAAAUUUUGCAGCUCCCUGGAAAGGAGGUUAUAACCAGGUUGGAAACAUUUCCUAAGCCGUGAAGAACUCUGACCCACAUUUCCAUGGCAUCAAAAGCUCCUUUCUCAGACAGCAUGGCAAGGUGCUGCCCUCCCAAAGAUGAGCAACACAAUGAAGACUUGUCUCAGGACACUUUCUGCUUGGAGCCAGGGAGAGCUGGGUUAGCAGGGUCAAAUGCCAAGGAUAUUUGUAGAGGGAAGAAAAUAUUGGCUAACAUCAGCUCUGUGCUCCCUGACCAGGAAAAGGAAGGGCAGGAUGGAAGAAAUAGGUUUUCAGAUUUAGGCAGUUCUGAGUAAAAGCUAAGAGAUGAAUCAAAGGUGGGCCACGUUUUCAUUGAAAGAGGAAAGACUCCAUAAACAACUGCAGUAGCACCAAAUAUUGUGUUGAACUGUUAAGAUAAAAAAGCCCCAAACAGGACUCUAAAACAAUUUUGGUGUUGUUGAGUAAAGUCACAAUGAUCCACAAAUUGCAGAAUUGAUACACUCUUCUGACUCUGAAGAGGCUGAAGGUGGAAGAUUUUUGCCUCCUAAGCUUCUGCUGUAUGGUAAAAAGAAUAGUGGAUAGGUUUACCUUCCACAGUGGUAAAUGGAUUUGAAGCAGAAACAUUCUCUCUGAAAGGACAGUAACAAAUUAAGAAGCCCAGACAUCUUUCUGUUAAAAAAGAAAGGUAAAUUUUCAGGUACCCUAAAGUCUCUAAAUUGUCUUUGUGGUUUAAAUUUCUUCCGCACAGAGAUUCCAUUAAUAACAGUUAUAUUGCCACAGAUUAAAAGUCUGUGUGAACAAUUGGAAUCUCUCAAGGCAUCAGUUACUCUUCAAUAACAAAUGUUUUCAUUGACUUGGAGACAGUUAUAGCAGGAGGUUUUCAUUUCCAAUGUACCUUGAGUAAUUAUUCAUGUUCUGCUGAUAGUUAUUUAUUAUGGAAUUAAAAUAUAUUUGGGGGAUAAAAGCCCAUUAGGAUAAAGAAUUGUGUGAAACCCAAAAAGUUGCAAUGAAGGUUGAAUAUGGAAAUUCCUACUCCUGUCUACUGUAUAUUUAUGGCCAGGUAGCAAGUUUCAGAGAAAAAGAAUGUUGUGUUAAUUUAACAGUAACCACCUGCUUCUGUAAAAUUAGAAAAGAAUUUGAGUUAUUCAUCCAGGAAGCCGAACCCGAACAAAGAACAUUCAUGGACUGGUAAGCUGUGACAUUAGGUAUCAUGCCCUUCUUAAGGAGCAGUUUUUUUUCCAGCCUUGAUUCAAUGUUAGUGGGGAAGAACUGAUUAAAAAGAAAAGGUUCUGCUAGUUAGACAUGGCAAUAAAUUUUUCAGGACCUCCAUCAACUCAUACAUAUGCCUAAUAAAUUAACUUGUCUUUAUGGAA